This 1624-nucleotide long non-coding RNA is filed under the name Canis lupus familiaris (dog). Its description in RNAcentral is "lncRNA (ENSCAFG00845005327.1)". The record is from RNAcentral. Lineage: Eukaryota; Metazoa; Chordata; Mammalia; Carnivora; Canidae.
UUUUCAGAAGACUUCAUGGAUAAAGCUGGAACACAAUGCAAUUCUCAAAUGGCUAAAAACAUGUUUUCUAUAUUUCUAAGUAUAAUCCCAGAAUGUUGCAGGAAGUAAAGUGCCUAUUGCAGUUUGGAGAAGAGUCAGGUAUUGAACUGGAACUAAGUAUUUGAUGCCUUCAAUUCCACUAAUAUAAAACUUCCUUUAAGACAUUGGUUCCCAGUUGUUUUUGUUUUGACUUUUUUCACAUUUCAGUCUUUCUUUUUCUCCCAUAUAUUUGUAAAACAAUAUUUACCUGUUUAUGAGUGAUAUAAUCUGAUGUUUUCUAAUCUGCUUUUUAUUUAAAAUAUCUUGGUUAAGAUGUACUUAAUCAGUUUGGUGAUCCAUUGAUGGUUGCAAUCCAUAGCUGGCAUCAUUACUUCUUAGGUGGCAUCAUUACUUCUUAGGUUAAGAGGGGUCUCUUUUCUAGCCCUUGGACUGAGAAAAGGUCCUACAGGUAGUGAUUCAGUGAAACUUAUGGAAUAAUAAAGGACACAUCUGUUAGUAUUUCAAAAUACUACCAUGCUGCACCAUUUAAAAAUUUGGAAAGUUAAAAAGUUUUUGAAAGUGAGUUCCAUGAAGUUAUUAGGCUUAGUCACACUUGAUAUCUGGGUUUAUUAAGAGAGUUGAGACAUUUUUACUAAACCGAUGACAGUUUAUUUACAAACCAUGAUUUUUUGUAUGACAAUGUAAAAAAUAUUUUCUGAUUAAGCAAGAACAAUUAGUAAAUAAUACAAAAUAGAUAAUAUCAAGUGGCAAAUAAUAUGAUAAGUAAUAGCUGUAUUAGUCAGCUUUAAUGUGAUAACACUGCAGAACAACAACUCCAGAAUCUCAAUGGCAUAUAACAACAAGCAUUAAUUUUGUCACCCACAGAUCUGUAGAUUGAUUGGAGUGGUUCUGCUUUGGGCUAAGAGUUGGGUUUAAGUGCAUAUUCAAAUCUGUUCCACAUGUUCUACAUUAUAGGUAACAACUGCAAAGGGCCAUCUUUCCCCAUGGAAGAUGGCAGAUGGCUCUUGGCAGAGCGCAAGAGGGAAAAACAAACUUGUGAGACAUCGUUAAAAGCCUCUGCUCUGAAAUGCCACACUAUUAAUUCUGUUGACACUCCAUUGGCCAAAACAAGUCACUCGGCUGAGCACAACAUCAGUGGGACGGGGGAGGUGAACUUCAGAGAAUAUGGGCUUUGAUUCCUGUCCUGAACGCAGCUGUAGAAAGAUUUUUCAGUGUAAUGAACAAUAUGUAAGCUGAUAAAUGAAGCCAAAUAGUGGGGGAAGUCAGUACAAAGUUGAUUCUGUAAUCUCUUCAGUGAUCUCUCUCAGGAGUUGGCAAAUCGUGCUAUGUGGGCCAAGUGUGGCCCACCAUUUAUUUAUUUAUUUUUUUCCACCAUUUAUUUUUGUAAAUAAAGUUUGUUGAAACACAGCCACGGAUGUUCCCUUAUACAUUGUCUAUGACUGCUUUUGUGGUACAACAGCAGGGUUGGGGCACCUGGGUGGCUCAUUCGGUUUAGGUGUCUGAUUCUUGGCUUUGGUCAGGUUGUGAUCUUAUGGGUCAUGAGAUGGAGCCCCCUGUUGGGCUCUUUGCUCAGCGGGGAGUCUGG